RNAcentral lists this ribosomal RNA (488 nucleotides) under uncultured bacterium. RNAcentral's name for it is "partial 16S ribosomal RNA". It matches the Rfam family "Bacterial small subunit ribosomal RNA", at positions 30 to 507 of the family's 1533-position model. The record is from RNAcentral.
AUUGAACGCUGGCGGCAGGCCUAACACAUGCAAGUCGAACGGUAGCACAGAGAGCUUGCUCUCGGGUGACGAGUGGCGGACGGGUGAGUAAUGUCUGGGAAACUGCCUGAUGGAGGGGGAUAACUACUGGAAACGGUAGCUAAUACCGCAUAACGUCGCAAGACCAAAGAGGGGGACCUUCGGGCCUCUUGCCAUCAGAUGUGCCCAGAUGGGAUUAGCUAGUAGGUGGGGUAACGGCUCACCUAGGCGACGAUCCCUAGCUGGUCUGAGAGGAUGACCAGCCACACUGGAACUGAGACACGGUCCAGACUCCUACGGGAGGCAGCAGUGGGGAAUAUUGCACAAUGGGCGCAAGCCUGAUGCAGCCAUGCCGCGUGUAUGAAGAAGGCCUUCGGGUUGUAAAGUACUUUCAGCGGGGAGGAAGGUGCUGAGGUUAAUAACCUCAGCAAUUGACGUUACCCGCAGAAGAAGCACCGGCUAACUCCGUG